GGCUUGUUGAGUAUAAUUUCAGGUCUUACCUGCCCACUGAUAAAUUAAAUGGCCGCGGUAUAUUGACCGUGCAAAGGUAGCAUAAUCAUUAGUUUUUUAAUUGGAAGCUUGUAUGAAGGGUUUGAUGAGAAAAUUUCUGUCUCUUGAUAAAUUUAUUGGAAUUUUAUUUUUAAGUUAAAAAGCUUAGAUUUUUAUUGAAGACGAGAAGACCCUAUAGAGUUUUACAUACAGUUUGUUUGUAGGAUUAUGAGGGAUUAUUAUAUUAGUAUAGAAUUUAUGUGUAUGUUUUGUUGGGGUGAUUAGAAAAUUUAAUAAACUUUUCUUUUUGUGCAAUAUUAAUUUAUAGGUAGAUGAUCCUAGGUUUUAGAUUAUAAGAUAAAAUUACYUUAGGGAUAACAGCGUUAUUUUUUUAAGAGUUCUUAUCGAAAAAAAAGAUUGCGACCUCGAUGUUGGAUUAAAAUUUAUUGCUGGUGAAGAGGCUAGUAGAUUAGGUCUGUUCGAACCUUUAAAUUUAA
Molecule: ribosomal RNA, 515 nt
Filed under: Trigonopterus sp. 274 AR-2022a
Lineage: Eukaryota; Metazoa; Arthropoda; Insecta; Coleoptera; Curculionidae
Description: partial large subunit ribosomal RNA
Source: RNAcentral